AGCGGAAGAGCUCAAGCUUGAAAUCUCCGCACAAGUUUUGUGUGGCGAAUUGUAGUCUAUAGAAGCGAUGUCAGCAUAGCUGCUCUAGUCAAGUUCCUUGGAAAAGGACAGCAUGGAGGGUUAUACUCCCGUCAUUGCUGGAGCAUGCUGUGUGUACGACACGUUUUCUUUGAGUCGCGUUGUUUGGGAAUGCAGCGCAAAGUAGGUGGUAAAUUCCAUCUAAAGCUAAAUAUAAGUGCGAGACCGAUAGCGAACAAGUACCGUGAGGGAAAGAUGAAAAGAACUUUGAAAAGAGAGUUAAAGAGUACCUGAAACUGCUGAAAGGGAAGCGAAUCGGAUCCAGUGUCUAUAAUCCGCAACAUAUUACAAUGAUGUGUCUUUGCUUUCCGCGUGUAGGUAGUAGCCUUGGUUGCACCUUGCGUGGAUUGGUUGAGCCAUAUCGUUGCCCUGUGUUGUGGUGGGACGUCAAAGUCAGUUUGUACGUCGCAGGAAAUGAUUGACGAGGAAGAUAGGUUUGCUGCUUGCAGCGUUCCAUUAUAUCCUUAUCGAUGUCUGCUGUGACGGAGACUGAGGUGUCUUUAACAUGCUCUCGAGUCUAUUAGACAUUCACUUGGUUGAGUGCGUAGAUAGCUUGCUAUGUACGUGUUUAUACAGGGUGAUUGUGUUUGGU
This 670-nucleotide ribosomal RNA is filed under the name Albugo candida. RNAcentral's name for it is "LSU rRNA". It matches the Rfam family "Eukaryotic large subunit ribosomal RNA", at positions 98 to 635 of the family's 3401-position model. Lineage: Eukaryota; Oomycota; Peronosporomycetes; Albuginales; Albuginaceae. The record is from RNAcentral.